AGAGUUUGAUCAUGGCUCAGAUUGAACGCUGGCGGCAGGCCUAACACAUGCAAGUCGAGCGGUAGAGAGAAGCUUGCUUCUCUUGAGAGCGGCGGACGGGUGAGUAAUGCCUAGGAAUCUGCCUGGUAGUGGGGGAUAACGUUCGGAAACGGACGCUAAUACCGCAUACGUCCUACGGGAGAAAGCAGGGGACCUUCGGGCCUUGCGCUAUCAGAUGAGCCUAGGUCGGAUUAGCUAGUUGGUGAGGUAAUGGCUCACCAAGGCGACGAUCCGUAACUGGUCUGAGAGGAUGAUCAGUCACACUGGAACUGAGACACGGUCCAGACUCCUACGGGAGGCAGCAGUGGGGAAUAUUGGACAAUGGGCGAAAGCCUGAUCCAGCCAUGCCGCGUGUGUGAAGAAGGUCUUCGGAUUGUAAAGCACUUUAAGUUGGGAGGAAGGGUUGUAGAUUAAUACUCUGCAAUUUUGACGUUACCGACAGAAUAAGCACCGGCUAACUCUGUGCCAGCAGCCGCGGUAAUACAGAGGGUGCAAGCGUUAAUCGGAAUUACUGGGCGUAAAGCGCGCGUAGGUGGUUUGUUAAGUUGGAUGUGAAAUCCCCGGGCUCAACCUGGGAACUGCAUUCAAAACUGACUGACUAGAGUAUGGUAGAGGGUGGUGGAAUUUCCUGUGUAGCGGUGAAAUGCGUAGGUAUAGGAAGGAACACCAGUGGCGAAGGCGACCACCUGGACUAAUACUGACACUGAGGUGCGAAAGCGUGGGGAGCAAACAGGAUUAGAUACCCUGGUAGUCC
This 793-nucleotide ribosomal RNA is filed under the name uncultured bacterium. RNAcentral describes it as "bacterial SSU rRNA". It matches the Rfam family "Bacterial small subunit ribosomal RNA", at positions 8 to 796 of the family's 1533-position model. The record is from RNAcentral.